Chrysemys picta bellii (western painted turtle) is the source of this 1889-nucleotide non-coding RNA. Lineage: Eukaryota; Metazoa; Chordata; Testudines; Emydidae. The record is from RefSeq and is a predicted model, not a curated record.
AGCUGGUAGUUAAGCUUAGAAGUCUUCAUGCAGGCCCCCACAUUUGUACCCUAAAGUUCAAAGUGGGGAUACAGCCUUGACACCCCUAGAAAUAUCAAGUCUGGCUCCCCUGGGUUUGCUGGAGAACCCUUGAGGUUUCCGGUGCCGCACUGUGGACAGGCGGUGGCCUACUGGCUAAGGUACCAGGCUGGCACGCAGGCGGGCUGGCUGUUUCUUUUCCUGACUCUGCACGUGUUAGAGCUGUGUGAUUUGGGACAAAUUAUUAAAUUUUAUGUGCUUAAAUCUUCCCUGCUGAAAAGUGGAGCUGAUGCUUAGGCACCUUUUGUUAAACACUUGUGGAUGAAAAAUGCUGUAUAAAGCAGUAUAAAAAUGCUGUAUGAGCUUUUGUGUCUCUUCCUUGGGGGCUGGGGUGGUGGGAUCUUUACAGAUGGGCUUUCCCUGUUAAACCUUGGCGUUAAAUAGGAGUUAAAACAUCUUAAACUGCUGGAGGAAAAAUCUUUCACCCUCAGUUGCUCCGUUUUCAAUUUUUUUCCUUGUACUUUCAUAAUCACUUCAGUAGUCAUAAACAGAGUUUCCAGAUAGACACAACCUGAAUUUUUAGUCUUUAAGAAAGUGAAAAAAAAUCCUUUCAGGUCUCCUUCAUAUCUCACAAAGCAGCAUAAAAGUUUAUGGACCCUUCUCCCUUUGUAGUUCACCUUUUUAAUAGCACCCCGUGUUCUGUGUAGUGACCCUGUUGUACAGGCAGGAUUCUUCUUCCCUGCAACUGCAAAAGAGAAUGUUCUUUUAUUAUUAUUUAUUACAUGUUGAGAGUGUGCACAAUAUUGCACAAAACCCAAAGAUAGUUUCCUGUGCUAAAGAAAGUGCUUUUUUGUAUUUAUAUUUCAGUUAUAGAGCACCUUUAACCAUGAAGGAUCUCAGAGCAUUUUACAGACUUCAGCUGAUAACCAGAGGAAUAAUUUUUCCCAGUGGUGACUGUACUUUGAUGGUAGAAAAACUGAUCAGUUGUUCAGCUGGGCAUAGCAGUUCUCCAUAACAAUAUAAUAAAUGAAGUGAAAAAUACCAUUUGGAAACUGCAGCUGUCUGUAGACUGGAUUUCUAACAAGGAAGUUCUAAACAAGGACUGAUGACCUCCAACCUGUUUGGAUGAAUUUAUCUGCAUGACCUUGUCAUGCAUCUGAUGCAAAGUCACCAUUAUGCAGACGGGUAUUAAAAGUGAAUUGCAAGAGAGAUUCAACAGUCAUUCAACUAAUUUCAACAGUCAAAAUUCUUCCUCUUGUCAUGGAAAAUGACUAAACCUGUUACUGAUGGCACAAAAACACAGGUGACCAUGAAUGAUAUCACUCUCCUGAGGCUGACACAGAAAAGUAAAGGCCGAAUGUCGCAUGAAUGCGACCCACCCCCAGGACCAUUCGCUGCCAUGCUUUGUGCUGCAAUGAUUCCAGACUACUUGCUACUGGCUUGGUGUGGAGCAGUUUCAACAGGUAUUAAACCUCCCAUAAGAAUUCAGUCUGCUUCCUACAGGACACUUUGCCAGGAAGCCUUGCUAAUGACAUUGAUCUAUAAGCAUUCAAGAUGACUUUCUUCCAGUGCCAGUGACUCAGAAGCAGGCUCAAAAUAAAGAAUUGCAGAGCCCCGCAUACUAUGGAAAUUGCCCUGCCUUCCUUAAACUAGACAGCAUUUGAAAUGCAAGAAUAUUGCUGUCCUAGGCAAAACUUCAGUGUGCCGACGCCAGAACAGAGGCUCUCAGCUGGAGUGUGAGAUGUUGGACUUUCUGGGGCAGUAAAGCAAACCUACUGAUGGUUCAGUGCAGGGCCGGCUCCAGCUUUUUUGCCACCCCAAGCAGUGAAGGGAAAAAAAAAAACUGAUUGAGCUGCUGCCGAAGUGCCUUA